RNAcentral lists this transfer RNA (59 nucleotides) under Pachyneuron aphidis. RNAcentral describes it as "tRNA-Glu". Lineage: Eukaryota; Metazoa; Arthropoda; Insecta; Hymenoptera; Pteromalidae. The record is from RNAcentral.
AUUUAUAUAGUUUAAAUAAAACAUUAUAUUUUCAAUAUAAAAAUAAAUUUAUGUAAAUU